RNAcentral lists this long non-coding RNA (958 nucleotides) under Mus spicilegus (steppe mouse). Its description in RNAcentral is "lncRNA (ENSMSIG00000024434.1)". Lineage: Eukaryota; Metazoa; Chordata; Mammalia; Rodentia; Muridae. The record is from RNAcentral.
GUUGGGGUUCUGAACUUCGUUCUUUUCUCCCCCGGUGUUACUUAAGCGCUUCAUUCACUUUGGAAGGCAAAGAGUUGUGUCUAAGCUACAUGUGAAGUCCUAAACCCUGAGUCCUGUUCUGGGAACUGCGAACCAACCUAGGACCCGGCGUCGUGGCUAGGACUGACUACGGUGAUGUGCAUUCUGAAAACUGAAGGGAAAGCUAGAGGGACCCGGUAGGAAAAGGAAGGGGGCCUCUGACCAAGUGUUCGCAACAGGCACUGGUAUGUGAAACUCUUUGAAAGAAAUUCACAUUUGGCAAGGAACAGUGGACCCAGGUUUGAGUGGAGCAGAUUUCUGAGGAGCAUUGAACUCAACCGACCUGAGCUCACACAACUUCACGAAAUCGCUUACCUUUUCGUGUUCAAUAACUGCUUGUCUGAAGUCUGGCUACUAUAUUUUCAAAAUCACAGCAAAUAUACUUUCCCUAUAUAGUUUGCUUCAUUAAGUGGCUCUCUUAGAACCUAGGAUAUUUUCUGUAAACUUUUUUAAAUGUUGUAGACUAUGUUGGGCUUUGUUUUGAUGGCUCAUAAUCCAACACUUCAUUAAUGUGGUCUGAAUAGUUUUUCCAUUCACUUACCUUAUACUUACCUGUACUGAGGUCACUUUUUUUUUUUAAUUUAUUUUUGUGUAUAUUUAGAACCACUACUGAUAUAACUACUCUUUUUUCACACAAAAACUUUUUUUUUCAAUUUUAGAACUUCAUUCCUUUUAUUGAAAAUAGAUUCUUUCCCCAUACAAUAUAACCUAAUUAUACUCUCCCCUCCCUCUACUCCCCCCAGUUCCUCCCUCACUCCACUCCCCUAGAGCUCCAGUCCCUUUUUGUCUCUCAUUAGAAAUAACAGGUUUCCAAGAGAUAACCAAACAUGACCAAAAAAAUAUAUAUAUAUAUAUAUAAAGAUGAAGCAGAAACUAUUAA